GAGUUUUAAAACUGGAUACUAGGUAAAUAUGUGUAAUGAACUUUUUGUUAAGAAAUUAACCUUUUAUCUAGUGCUGUGUUUCUGCCCCCGCCCCCACCCCACAUUGUAUCAAUAGUUUGAUAUAUAUAUUUUAUUAGAAUAUUAUAAUAGAUUGUUUUUAUGACAAGUCUACUUGCACUCAUUCUUAAGUGGUUUCUCCUCAAUCUUUGCUACUGAAAAUAUCUGGUGAAUUAAUAAGUAGGAUUCCAGUUUGAAAAAGAAAUCAAGAUAUUAGUUGGUUUCAACCUGAUUAUAUCUUUGACGUGCAAAAUCCUACUACAGUGAAUUCUAAGGUGAUCCAAAUUGUUUUGUUGUUAUAGAAAUAAUUUGGAAUCAGAUGACUUAGAAAUCUCUCAAAACUUUUUAUUAUAAUGGUAUUUUAAGCAAUUGGACUGUAUAUGUAUGGCAUUAAAUGAAUAUAAAUAGGUUCUUAUUCAUUCACAAUCCUUUAACAACAGUAACAUGAUCAUUUAAAAGGCAAUUUAUAGCACAUUUUCAUUUAAAUUUGCUGUGGUUGAAGUGUUGUCUUUAGUGAACAUUUAUUAAUUAGUGGGAUUCAGUUUCUCUUUGAACUCAGAAGUUUUCAAGCUGGUUGGCUUACUGGAUGCUUGUUAAGUUUUCAGCAUCAUCUUCCCCCCUUUUAAGAAUCAAGUGUUUAUUCAAUUUGCUUUUCAACCCAGAGAAUAUGAAACUCUCCUCUAGUUUAUGUAGCAUUUUUCACUUAAUAUUUCCUUACAGAACUUUAUAGGACAUAAAAAUAGCAUCUGGUAGCACUUAGGUAAAGGUAGCAGAAAACAAAAGAACUUCCAAACAGAAAUUAUGUUCCUUGCCACCUCCUCCACUUCAAAGAAUAACAAACACGUGGCACACAUGGAGUUCUUCAGAAAAACUGCAUCAUUUUCUUCCAAGGUAAACUAUUUGACAGCUCGGAGUCUGUGAUGAUCUUAAUUGGCCUUCUAUUUAGUAGAGUCUUAGAAACGGAUUUAUUUCUGAGAGACUUUUUUUCAUCAUUAUGUGUGAAUAGCUUUCCCGCUAAAGACUUUUAACGAUAGGGGUCAUAACAGGGCAUGCAACUCUGAGUUAAUUUCAUCAAUUUCUAACUUCAAGUUGCCUUAUUUUUUGCAGUUAAGAAAUAUGUUUUUCAGGGUUAAUAGCAGAAUUUUUUUUUAAAAAAAAAAUUGUUAAACUUUAGAAUCCCAUUGAAAAGAUCCUUUAAAUGUCAACUUUACUCAACCUUGUAAAAGUCUUUCUAAUUUUAUCUGACACUUAAUACAUCAGUUGACUUUCCUGCCGAUCAUUUAAGAUUUAGAGAAUUCUUUACAAAUUCCUGUGUUUUAUUGUAUGACAUGACGUUUCUUAUUUUACAGAAUUCACAAUUUCAAUGCAUAGACUUUAUGGUACAUUUCUUAAAAGAAUUUUUGUAGUGAUCUCUAUUUAGUUAUAAAAAUGUAACAGAAGGAAACGACAUCAAAUUUAGAUGUCCCAAUUAAAUUCAACUUGAUGCAACCUGAGUUGGGUAUAACAUACACCAAACACUUUGAUAAAGGGGACAGGCUGCCUGCCCUCCAAGAGCAUUGUCAACCAAGGGAGCAGUCCAUACAGCCCCGGGACAGGAGUGAAGGCAGAGAGCCCCAGGCAAUGAAGGCUGCAUUACCAGGGCCUUGGAGGGGAGAACAAAGAGAAAAACAAUUUUAUCUGGUGUGGGAAGUGGCCAUAGAAAUACAGGGGCAGCUUGAAAGCAUUCCGUUUCUAACUAGUUAAACGGUAUAUUCCUUCUGGUUUGUGAGCAGGUGCAGAAAAAUGCCUGCAUAAUGUUACAUAUUUAUAGUAGUUCUUUGUCUGUAAAAUGUUAAGUGGGUGAGCUGUUAUAAAAAGUUCCAUAUUGUAUUUCUCAUUAAAAUUAGUACUAUUAUUACUGUGGAUCAGAUGCUAAUAUUCAAGAAAUAAUCCUCUAGUAAAAAGGUUUCGACCUGAAUUAAUACGUGAACUGACUGUUAAUAUAGAAUAAAUGUCAUAAUGGCUCAUGUUUAUUUUACUUAUUCAAAUCUUUGAAGAGAAGCAUGGUAUCUGACUUUCAUUUCCUGAAACUGUGAGGAUCAAUCACACUGAUGAAAAUACUGAGUUUACACUACAA
Molecule: long non-coding RNA, 2173 nt
Organism: Pipistrellus kuhlii (Kuhl's pipistrelle)
Lineage: Eukaryota; Metazoa; Chordata; Mammalia; Chiroptera; Vespertilionidae
Exons: 2
Source: RefSeq, a predicted model, not a curated record